RNAcentral lists this ribosomal RNA (402 nucleotides) under Nematoda environmental sample. RNAcentral's name for it is "SSU rRNA". It matches the Rfam family "Eukaryotic small subunit ribosomal RNA", at positions 30 to 433 of the family's 1831-position model. The record is from RNAcentral. Lineage: Eukaryota; Metazoa; Nematoda.
GCUUGUCUCAAAGAUUAAGCCAUGCAUGUCUAAGCAGAAGCCGAACAACGGUAAAGCCGCGAAUGGCUCAUUACAACAGCCGUCGUUUCUUGGAUCUCUUAUUUUACUGGAUAACUGUGGUAAUUCUAGAGCUAAUACACGCACUAAAGCUCCGACCUUACGGGACGAGCGCAUUUAUUAGAACAAAACCAAUCGGGUUUCGGCCCGUCCGUUGGUGACUCUGAAUAACUACGCCGAUCGCACGGUCUCGUACCGGCGACGUAUCUUUCAAGUGUCUGCCUUAUCAACUUUCGAUGGUAGUUUAUGUGCCUACCAUGGUUGUAACGGGUAACGGAGAAUAAGGGUUCGACUCCGGAGAGGGAGCCUGAGAAACGGCUACCACAUCCAAGGAAGGCAGCAGGC